Molecule: long non-coding RNA, 689 nt
Filed under: Solanum lycopersicum (tomato)
Lineage: Eukaryota; Viridiplantae; Streptophyta; Magnoliopsida; Solanales; Solanaceae
Description: partial TCONS_00037951
Source: RNAcentral
UCUCAUAAGGACAACACUGAUGACGGAAGCAUAUGCCAAAGAAAUACAACUCACAACAACAUGUUUCAUAUUCAGGACAAUAAUACCAGUCUCCACAUUCACUUGGCUUAGGAUAAGGUGGCGGAGGGGGCGAAGGGGAUGGCGGAGGAGGUGAUGGAGGAGGAGGUGGUGGAGGGGGCGGAGGGGAAGGUGAAGGAGGUAGUGGAGGCAAUGGUGAAGGAGGUGGUGGAACAGCUGGAAACGGGUAAGGUGAGGGUGGAGGAUGCGACGGAGGGGAUGGUGGAGGAGAUGGUGGAACAGUUGGAGAUGGAUAAGGAUAUGGUGCAAAAGGUGGCUGAGGGGAUGGGGGUGGAGGGAAUAGUGGAACGUCUGGAGAUAACGGAGGGGAUGGUGGAGGAGGUGGUGGAACGAUCGGAGACGGAUAAGGAAAUGGUGCAGAAGGAGGUGGAGAGGAUGGUGGAGUAGAUGGCGGAAUGGCUGGAGAUGGAUAAGGAGAUGGCUCGGAAGGUGGUGAAGGGGACGGAGAGGGAGAUGAUGCAGAAGGUGGUGGAGGGGGAUAAGGGGAUGGAGAAGGUGGUGGAACGGCUGAAGAUGGGGGAGAGGGCAGAGGGAAUGGUGGUGGAGGUGGUUGAACAGCCGGAGAUGGAUAAGGAGAUAGUUCAAAAGAUAAUUCCUUCGUAGGAUAAGAA